GGGAGUGGAUUGGACCUGGUGGUUCACCUGGACUUCAACUCCAGUCGUAUGGCAGUGAUCCUGGCAUAGGUGGGUUCGAUUCCCACACAUUCCCGCCA
RNAcentral lists this transfer RNA (98 nucleotides) under Clostridia bacterium. RNAcentral describes it as "tRNA-Sec". It matches the Rfam family "Selenocysteine transfer RNA". RNAcentral also lists the same sequence under 1 other name. Lineage: Bacteria; Bacillati; Bacillota; Clostridia. The record is from RNAcentral.